RNAcentral lists this ribosomal RNA (451 nucleotides) under Clostridioides difficile. RNAcentral's name for it is "partial 23S ribosomal RNA". It matches the Rfam family "Bacterial large subunit ribosomal RNA", at positions 2253 to 2703 of the family's 2925-position model. Lineage: Bacteria; Bacillati; Bacillota; Clostridia; Peptostreptococcales; Peptostreptococcaceae. The record is from RNAcentral.
ACUGUCAGGUGGGCAGUUUGACUGGGGCGGUCGCCUCCCAAAAGGUAACGGAGGCGCUCAAAGGUUCUCUCAGUACGGUCGGAAAUCGUACGUAGAGUGUAAAGGCAAAAGAGAGCUUGAUUGCAAGACAUACAGGUCGAGCAAGGAUGAAAAUCGGACUUAGUGAUCCGGUGGUUCUGCGUGGAAGGGCCAUCGCUCAACGGAUAAAAGCUACCCUGGGGAUAACAGGCUUAUCUCCCCCAAGAGUCCACAUCGACGGGGAGGUUUGGCACCUCGAUGUCGGCUCAUCACAUCCUGGGGCUGUAGUAGGUCCCAAGGGUUGGGCUGUUCGCCCAUUAAAGUGGUACGCGAGCUGGGUUCAGAACGUCGUGAGACAGUUCGGUCCCUAUCCGUCGCAGGCGUAGGAAAUUUGAGAAGACCUGUCCUUAGUACGAGAGGACCGGGAUGGACG